RNAcentral lists this ribosomal RNA (253 nucleotides) under uncultured bacterium. RNAcentral describes it as "partial 16S ribosomal RNA". It matches the Rfam family "Bacterial small subunit ribosomal RNA", at positions 524 to 776 of the family's 1533-position model. The record is from RNAcentral.
UACGGAGGGGGCUAGCGUUGUUCGGAAUUACUGGGCGUAAAGCGCACGUAGGCGGUUUUGUAAGUUAGAGGUGAAAGCCUGGGGCUCAACUCCAGAAUAGCCUUUAAGACUGCAUCACUUGAACGCAGGAGAGGUGAGUGGAAUUCCGAGUGUAGAGGUGAAAUUCGUAGAUAUUCGGAAGAACACCAGUGGCGAAGGCGGCUCACUGGACCGUUGUUGACGCUGAGGUGCGAAAGCGUGGGGAGCAAACAGG